AUGUGAGAUGACAAAAAGUCAGCAGCCUGCAACUGGAAAGAGGACUCACUGGAACUCAGCCAUCCUGGCACCCUGAUCUUGGACUCCAAGCCUUCAGAACUCACGUCAGGUCUACUUUUCUAGAGGAAGAGAGUGAGAAGAUCUGGACUACAAAGCUAUAAACACCUGCCUUGAUCAUCAGUUACAGAUUCUUUUCUGUUGUAGGUUAUUUCCAGAUAUUGAAUAAAGUUCCCUGUACUAUAUGAUUCUCCCAGAUCAGAAUUUAUACUUGCUACUUUGAAGAUUUGGAUUUUAAUUCACUUACAAUCCCAAAGACAAGUGGGAUGACAGGGGUGGAGAAUAGGACAACUGCCAUCUAUGUUCAAGGUAACUACCUCAGCCCUACAUUGCCUGUUAUUUCUAAGGAUCCUUUUCUGGAUGAAGUGAAUAAUAAAAUGGGGACAAAAGAAUAGAUCCAAGGAGGAUAGCUUCAAGAUGACAGAGGAGUAAGACAUGGAGAUCACCUUCGUCCCCACAAAUAUAUCAAAAAUACAUCUACACGUGGAACAGCUCCUACAGAACACAUACUGAGCACUGGCUGAAGACCUCAGACUACCCAAAAGGCAAGAAACUCCUCAUGUAGCUGGGUAGGGAAAAAGAAAAAGAAAAAAACAAAGACAAAAGAAUAGAGACAGGACCUGAACCUCUGGGAGGGAGUUGUGAAGGAGGAAAAGCUUCCACACACUAGAAAUCCCCUUCACUGGCAGAGAUUGCAGGUGGGUGGGGGUGGGGGGAGCUUCAGAGCCACAGUGGAGAGUGCAGCAACAGGGGUGCAGAGAGCAAAGUGGAGAGAUUACCGCACAGAAGAUCGGUGCUGACCAGUUCUCACAAACCUGAGAGGCUUGCCUGUUCACCUGCCAGGGCGGGAGUGGGGCAGGGGCUGGGAGCUAGGGCUCUGGCUUUGGAGGUAAGAUCCCAGGGAGAGGACUGGGGUUGGCAGCAUGAAUACAGCCAUAAGGAGGCUAGUGCACCAUAGCUAGCCAGGAGAGAGUCUGGGAAAAAGUCUGGAACUGCAGAAGAGGAAAGAGACUUUUUCUUGCCUCUUUGUUUUGUGGGGUGCGAGGAGAGGGGAUUAAGAGCACCGCCUAAACGAGCUCCAGAGACUGGCACAAGCCAUGGAUCUCAGCGCAGACACCAGCAAUGGGCAUGAAACACUAAUGUUGCUGCUGCAGCCAACAAGAAGUCUGUGUGCAAGCAGAGGCUACUAUCCACAUCUCCCCUCACAGAAGACUGUGUAGCCCACAACUACCAGGGUCCCAUGAUCCAGUGACAAAUUCCCUGGGAGAACACACGGCAUACCUCAGGCAGUUGCAAUGUCAUGCUGGCCACUGCCUCCACAGGCUCACCCAACAUUUUGUACACCUCCCUCCCCCUGGCCUGAGUGAGCCAGAGCUCAUGAAUCAGCUGCCAUUUUAACAGCGUCCUGUCUAGGAAAAGAACAGUUGCCCUCAGGUGACCUGUAGAUAGAGGCGAGGCCAAAACCAAACCUGAACUCCAGGAGCUGUGCGAACAAAGAAGAGAAAGGAAAAUCGCUAUCAGCAGCCUCAGGAGCAGCCUAUUAAAUCUCCACAAUCAAACUGAUGGACCCUACAUCUGUGGAAUACCUGAAUAGGCAACAAAUCAUGCCAAAAUUGAGGCGGUGGACUUUUGGAUCAACUGUAAACUUGGGGUGUGCUUUCUGCAUCUAAUUUGUUUCUGGUUUUAUGUUUAUCUUAGUUUAGUAUUUAGAGUUUAUUAUCAUUGGUACAUUUGUUUAUUGAUU
Long non-coding RNA from Mesoplodon densirostris (Blainville's beaked whale), 1801 nucleotides. RefSeq lists it as uncharacterized. The record is from RefSeq and is a predicted model, not a curated record. Lineage: Eukaryota; Metazoa; Chordata; Mammalia; Artiodactyla; Ziphiidae. The transcript has 5 exons.